GCAUUUCGCACGACCAGAUCUUUACACCUCUCUGUGAUCUAAGCCGAGAUCCAAACCCCAAAAUCCUAAUUCUCUUUUCAAUUUGGAGAAAAUGGGGGUCGAAAAUGCUGACGACACUUCGGCGGUGGCUAGCCCCCUCCCGCUUCCGUCUCUCAGCAGCCCUACGUUUCUGAGCUUCUCUCAUUCACUCUCGAUCGCCUCC
Molecule: unclassified non-coding RNA, 202 nt
Filed under: Hevea brasiliensis (rubber tree)
Lineage: Eukaryota; Viridiplantae; Streptophyta; Magnoliopsida; Malpighiales; Euphorbiaceae
Source: RNAcentral